Peromyscus maniculatus bairdii (prairie deer mouse) is the source of this 1326-nucleotide non-coding RNA. NCBI's taxonomy places the organism in Eukaryota, Metazoa, Chordata, Mammalia, Rodentia, Cricetidae. The record is from RefSeq and is a predicted model, not a curated record.
GCACGGGUGCGCACAGCAGCUCUGUCCUGGGCGAGCAAGGCGCUGAGAGCUGGAGGCGGCGGCGGGCAGGGCGCGCGGAGCCGCUGCAGCCUAUUCUAUUUCAUCCUGGUCAUGUGGCGACCUAGGACUUCAGUAAUCUCAAAGCAAGCUUACCAAUAGCAAUCCUGACGACAACUCUCCCUCUGCAGAUCACGAAUGCCUCUCCAGCUGUAAACUCCAGUGUUUUCUCUCUACUGACUUCUAAAACUACCUUCAUGUGGGGGUUUGGGCCCAGCUGGCUGAGCUGGAAUCUAACUGUGUGUCCAAAGCGAACAACUCAACCUUUCUCAACUCAAAAAUGUACAAAACAGUAAUGCCUGCCUCAGUAAACUUCUGGCAAAGAUUAAAGGAGGUGAAAUGCAUGAUGUGCUUUGGAUGAUUCUGGCACAUAGUAAGAGUUCAGUGAGAGACGCUAUAAAGAAAGUUCUCAUAAUCGCCAUUAUCAUUACCAUCACCACAUUGUAUCCUGAUGAAAGCAAAGAAGGUAAAAAAGGCACCACCUUGUUCUAAAACAGAUUCUCCCUCCUUAUUUACAUCACGAGUAAUUUACAACUCCUUUGCCAUCUGUAAAAUUCUAAGAAUAUUUUCUGUGUGCCAGUCCACUUCUCAAGACCUGUUAGUGAGGAUUAGUCCCCUUGGGUCCUUCUGUGUUGUAUCUCUGGACUAGCUAUAAAUAAAGCAGCAAAAUCAUCCAAAGUGGACACUAUAUUGGAGAAGUUGCAACAUGUUAAGCCUCCAAAAUACUUGUGUAGGAUCUUUGUUAUAACAUUUUGGUGUCUGAAGUCUUUAUAUGAAUUCUUAGUCUCUGACAAAACACAGAAAAGUUCUCUUCUGCUGCUGCUGGCCUCAAAUGUAGUUCCUUUUAUAUGUAUGAGCAUUUUUGUAUGUGUGUAUAUCCCAGGUAUGCCUGGUGCGCAUGGAGUCCAGAAAAGGGUAUCAGAUCCUCUAAAAGCUGAAAUGGAAUUACAGUUGGUUGUGGUCUGUCCUGUGGGUGCUGGUUUUGGAGUCUGCAUCCUCUGCAAAAGCAGUCAGUGUUCUUAACCACUGAACAUUCUUUGCAGUUCCAUUUGCUGCCAUGUGUACUGCCGUUCUUAAUACACUGAAGGUCUAGAGUUAACUGUCUUGUUCAUUCCAUCCUUUAUUGGCUCUUCAGCUGCUCCAAGUAUAGAGUAUAGGAAAUAUUCAUCCUCUGAAGCUGGCCAGCCUUCCACUCACAAAAGAGUCCUGUUUUUUACUGCAAACUGCAGAGUACUUUUCAUAUUGCAUGUGUCUAGUCCAUGGUCCCAU